Non-coding RNA from Caretta caretta (loggerhead turtle), 5092 nucleotides. The record is from RefSeq and is a predicted model, not a curated record. Lineage: Eukaryota; Metazoa; Chordata; Testudines; Cheloniidae.
GUGACAUACGCAUAAUAUUUGAGAGGGGCCUCGUCCCGGAGUGCAAAAGUACAGAAUGCAGUCCGGCUCCGCCACUCAUUAAAAUGCAAGGGACUGUUUCUUUGUUCUCAAGUGUAGCUUUUCAAAAAAAUCUGCUGCACACCGAUUGGGAAACACGGCAGUAAGGAAUGAGUAGGGAGAAGGGAGGGGCCAGCAUGCUGGUCUCCUCCUACAUAGUGAGUCAGAUGCCUGCAGAUAUUGUAAGGCAUAAGAAAGCUCAUGCAGUGUGCAGGCCCUGACUUAGCAAGGAGGAGACCAGUAGGAGAAGGCAGCCGAAUCCUCUGAGCCUAAGGAGUAAGUGGGGCCAGCAGAGAGAAAUAAAUUGCAACCCAGCCCCAGGAAAAGAGCUGGCGACUCCUGAUAAGGAGGUGGAUAAUUAAUUGUUUGAAUUACCUACCACCAGGAGAAGACCUGGGCCUACUGCCAUACGGAGAAGAUACACAGAGAGAAAUUGCCACCCAACUUCAGGAAGCAAGAUAGAGCAAGGGCUGCCUCCUGCUCCAGCAAAAGCUUCCAAACCUUCUUAGGGCAUUUCUACAUGUACAGCACUGCAGUGAUGCAGCUGCAUCAUUAAAGCGGCACUGCUGAAGUGGGUGUGGUGAAGACACUCUGUGCCAGAGAAUAAAGUUUCCUAUCUGAGGGUUGUUUCCUGCUGGGAUUUCCAGACUAUAAAAACACCAUUUCUGUCCUCAGAUUUAGAAAGAGACAAGGAGAAGAUAGGCAGACCCCAAGGAAAGCAGGAAUCAAGCUGACAGGGCGCAGGAUCAGGAACUUGGGAGACUCAGGAACCACGCAGGUGAACAGGACAUCCAAGAAGAGGAACCAAGUUGGAUCAUCCAGCAGAAACAGGAUAAAACAGCCUGUGACCUUCAGCACAUUGCUUCCCAAAAGUCAGAGACACUUGGAAAGGAGAAGACGGAGGUCCUUGACCAUCCACCUGGGAGUCCUCCUGGUGACAUCAAGUACCCAUCUCAAGAUGUGGAAGUGAGUGUGGCUGUGUGUAUACAUGUGCAUGGGGAAGCCACAUGAGGAAGGCAUCAGAAAGAAAAGUUUCAACAGCUCUAAAUAUUGUCUCAAGACACUUGUUAAAGAGUGUUCUGUGUGUAAAAGUCCUGAGAGCCUUGAGAUUGUCAUUUGUCUUUUCUGGUAAACAAGAGUUGUUAAACUUCUCCUUAUCAAGAGUGUACUGUUAAAAUUUGUUUUAUAAUACGUUUGCUGGGGGCAUUGGUGGAGUGGGAGAGGGUUAGCGACCCCAUAGUAACUGAAGUCCGGGUAGGUAGUUUCUAAUUGACUCUGAGGUUGUGGCCCAGACAUUAGGUGGUAGUUUGGUUUCAGUGUUAAGGUACUUAACUAGAUUCAAAGCAUAGGUUUGUUUAAUUUGGUAAAAUGGUUUAAUUGGGAUUUUUAAAGCUCACAGGCAGCAAGCUUCUUAGAAUUUAUAUAAGGACUGAUUAUUUUUGGUAUUUGAUUAAUUCCAAUCUAUUGUGGAGACUAACUUGAAACUGGGUUUGUUUACUGUAAUUUGAUAAGUAAAAACAACAUUUAGUAUUAUGAAUAGUUUGGUUCUGGUGAUAUGUUUUCUUGAAUUUAUUUUAGUUUAAGAGUUUCAACAACAUUUAUAAGCCAGAAACCAAUAAUGAGUCACAUUCCUUUCAGUAGGCCACAUGGGACCAGAAGCUUUUAGGGUCUGGGAUGGCUACAACCCUGUCAGUCUGGAAGCCGUCUAGUUCCUUCUAAUGAGUCUGGUUCUCACAGAAUCGGUGCCUGAAGAGGAAGGAAAAGUUGACUUAUGUAUUUGUAAUGAUUUGGGGAAUCUUCUAUGUACUGCUUAUGAAUUCUCCAGUUUGAAAUUUGAACUGCCUGUAUCCUUAUAUCUUAUGGCUGUCUUUCAGAGUAUUCUUACAUCAUAACCCUUGUGCUGAGGAGGGAAGGGACAGACAUGUAUCUGGCUUUAAAUAGGAUGAUUGGUAAAAGUUAUAAGAACCUGAAUAGUUAUUUAGACCAUCACAGAAGAGUGGAGUAGCUGCAAUCUGGAUGGAACAAGCUCUACCCAGCUUGUCUAGAGAGCUAGUGUUUGGAGGAGUGGAUUUCCCCCAAAGCGUGACCCAAAAAAAGGUACUGAUACUAGCCUUUAAAACCAGAGAUUGGAUGGAUCAGAAAGUGAGACAAAGGAAGCCUGGGCAGGCGAGGAACAGAGGGCAUGAUUUCAUAGCAAAGGGACCAGCCAACAAAGAAGAAAACUGGCUGCACGGGAAAGAAAGACUCCAUGGUUGAGAGGAGAAAUUGUGUGCAGAAGGGGUGGGGAUCCUGGACUCCUUAGAGCAGUGGUUCUCAAACUUUUGUACUGGUGACCCCUUUCAUAUAAAAAAAUCUGAGUGUGACCCCUCCUUAUAAAUUAAACACUUUUUAAAUAUAUUUAAUGCCAUUAUAAAUGCUGGAGGCAAAGUGGGGCUUGGGGUGGAGGCUGACAGCUUGCGACCCCCCAUGUAAGAACCUUGUGACCCCCUGAAGGGUCCCUAGCCCCAGUUUGAGAACCCCUGCCUUAGAGGAUUCUGAUGUAAGCUCAAAGACUAUUCAAGAGUGCUAAGGAGACUGGGGCAGGGAGAUGCGUACAGCUGUUGUUUUUAUCUGAAUCAAUAUACUUCCUGUGCUAGCUAAUGUAAAGAGUGACUGGUUUGGAAGAACCCUAUGUGUCUAUUAUGUGGGCCACUAUCAAGUGUCCCUGAAGAGGUGAACUGUAAACCCCUAGUGCCCACAAGAUUAGAGCUCUGGGAAAGGGUGUGAUAAGCUAUUAGGGAAUUUGGGGGUUAGUGCUGGUCCUGGGGACCUAGGACAGCUGGGACCUGCGAUACCAUUUCCACAAAGGAGUAACAGGCAGAAAGCCUAUGCCUAGAAAGUGUGUUAGAGGGGCCAAGGAGGGAGACAGGGCUGUAGCCUACUCAGACCCAGGGAAGCUUAAGAGCACAUGGGCCCAGUGUGGUGGGACAGAAACACAGCAACCUGGUGAGUGUUCCGGUGAGGGAGCACUAGCAGGGUUUGAUUGUACAUUGAUUGACAGUACAUUGAUUAGCCUUAUUGGAACUGAAUUGUUUUUGAAUUAUUUGUCUGGAGUCUGUCCUUGGAAUCCAAAGACUGUUAGAGCAAGUAGUACUGCAGAAAGCAGAACAAGCACUAGCCACGGAGCUGCCAUUGUGCAAACAGGAAGUACCCAUUUCUUAGUGACAAAGAGAAUGAGAAACUGCUGUGGAUUUUCUCCAAAUUGCUUUAUUGAUUAUCUACAUUAUUUUUGAAUUUCAAUGGAAGGACAAGCCUCCCAGCUUGACUGACUAACUGUAUUUAAAUAGUGGUUUGCAGUUUUGUUUGUGAUGUGUCCUGAAUUGAAACAGACAAGUGUGUUCUGCGUUUUAAAGGCGUUUCCUACUUUUUAUAUUUUUGCCUUUGCCUUCAUGUGCAUGUCAACAAGCUUCAGAUUACAAUGAAAACCUGUGAGGUCCUUCAAGAGAGAAGCCAACUGUCUUAUUCAUGAAGCAGAGAGCCUGUAGAUGUACUGCUAGAGAGUCUACUUCAAGAAGUAGAGAAUGUUAGUUUUCUUGAAUCCCCUCCCCACCUAGUGAUAACACAUCCCCAACAUCACACAACAAAUUUAUAUAACUUGCUGACGGUGAUAUUAAAAUAGGGGUGAUCGUCUGGGUUGCUAAGUUAUCAUAAUACGGAGGUUGCACCUUUUGUAUUCUGACAUAUAGCUAAGAAAGUAGUGGGGUUUGACCCAGCAAACUGGGAGGGCUGGGACUCGGAAGUUACAGAACACUCUUAUUUGAAUUGGGAAGGAACGGAGAACCAGUGCCAUAACACAGACUGAGAUAACAUUACAUAUGGUUCAGUCUUGUUAAGUCAGGCAUUGUGUUAGGAAUGGUUUAAAGAGAAACCCAAAGUUCAGGCUUUGCAGAAGGACAAAGAGAAACUAAUUUUGCAGAACCUGAACAUUGGGCUUCUCUUUAAACCACUCCUGACGCUACGUGAAAGACUGAGGUUUGGAUCAGAUAAGGGAGUUAUUUGAGUCAGCUGAGCAAAUUGGCAAAUGUGACCCUCGUAAGAAGCGGGCACAAAUCCAAGAGCUUAUUGCCCUGGUUAGGAAUCCUAAGGCCUUUUGGAAAUAUUGCAAAAGCUGAUAGAGUUCACCUUGAAUUUGGUUUGAUACCCUUCCCCCCAAAGUGAGUGGAGAAUGAGAUAGUGUCAGGAAUUACUCAUUAUUAUAUAGAAGUGAUAAGAGCAGUAGGGCUUCUCCGUACAGAAAUUAACGUUAGAGAUGGCAUGCCCAAGACACUGUGAUGAGAGGUGUUGUAUCUGUGUUACUGCUGGAGGAGAUAACAACCCAGAUGAUCAUCCCUAUCUUAAUAAGUUAUAUUCGAAGAAGCUACCAGAUUUUGUGCGACAGAGGAUAAAGAUGAUAGCUGACCCCUUCAAGGAAAAUUGUCACCUUCACUCAGAAAGCACAACUGACCAAAGGGUCUUCAGUGGAAGGCGGGGGGAAGGCAUCUAGUGGCUUGCUAGAUAGCAUCUGUGCUCUUGAAUCUGGAAGUGCUGAACUAGUGUUAGGGGGUAGAGAAUUAUCUUCCCUAGGAAGGUGAAGUGUAAAGGUCAGGUAUUAGGAACCCAACACACAAGAAGGCUGUUGAAAGAUAAGAAUUCAGGCUGUAAGACUUGGGAUAAGAGUUAAAUAAAAACAACUUAAGAAUGAUGGGUUUGAGAAUAAGCAGCUUGUCAGAGCAUUGGACAAUAAACUGGACAAAACUGGGAGAGGUUGCAAGUGCUUUGGAGGAUAGGAUUAAAAUUCAAAAUCUGGACCAACUGGAGAAAUGGUCUGAAGUAAAUAGGAUGAAAUUCAAAAAGAACAAAUGUAAAGUACUCUACAUAGGAAGCAACAAUCAGUUGCACAGAUACAAAAUGAGAAAUGACUGCCUAGGAAGGAAAACAGUGGAAAGAGAUCUAGGGGUCAUAGUGGAUCACAAGCUAAAUAUGAGUGAACAGUGUAACACGGUUGCAAAAAAAAAAA